Molecule: ribosomal RNA, 811 nt
Filed under: Cassava frogskin disease phytoplasma
Lineage: Bacteria; Bacillati; Mycoplasmatota; Mollicutes; Acholeplasmatales; Acholeplasmataceae
Description: bacterial SSU rRNA
Rfam family: Bacterial small subunit ribosomal RNA
Source: RNAcentral
AAACUCCCUUGACGGUACUUAAUGAAUAAGCCCCGGCUAAUUAUGUGCCAGCAGCCGCGGUAAUACAUAAGGGGCGAGCGUUAUCCGGAAUUAUUGGGCGUAAAGGGUGCGUAGGCGGUUUAAUAAGUCUAUAGUUUAAUUUCAGUGCUUAACGCUGUUGUGCUAUAGAAACUGUUUUACUAGAGUGAGUUAGAGGCAAGCGGAAUUCCAUGUGUAGCGGUAAAAUGCGUAAAUAUAUGGAGGAACACCAGAGGCGUAGGCGGCUUGCUGGGACUUUACUGACGCUGAGGCACGAAAGCGUGGGGAGCAAACAGGAUUAGAUACCCUGGUAGUCCACACCGUAAACGAUGAGUACUAAGUGUCGGGUAAAACCGGUACUGAAGUUAACACAUUAAGUACUCCGCCUGAGUAGUACGUACGCAAGUAUGAAACUUAAAGGAAUUGACGGGACUCCGCACAAGCGGUGGAUCAUGUUGUUUAAUUCGAAGAUACACGAAAAACCUUACCAGGUCUUGACAUUUUCUUGCGAAGUUAUAGAAAUAUAAUGGAGGUUAUCAGGAAAACAGGUGGUGCAUGGUUGUCGUCAGCUCGUGUCGUGAGAUGUUAGGUUAAGUCCUAAAACGAGCGCAACCCUUGUCGUUAAUUGCCAGCAUGUAAUGAUGGGGACUUUAACGAGACUGCCAAUGAAAAAUUGGAGGAAGGUGGGGAUUACGUCAAAUCAUCAUGCCCCUUAUGAUCUGGGCUACAAACGUGAUACAAUGGUUGAUACAAAGAGUAGCUGAAACGCGAGUUCUUAGCCAAUCUCACAAAA